GUCUACAGCCACGCUACCCUGAACAAGCCCAAUCACGUCUGAUCUCGGAAGCUAAGCAAGGUCGGGCCUGGUUAGUACUUGGAUGGGAGACCACCCAGGAAGACCAGGUGCUGUAGACG
Molecule: ribosomal RNA, 119 nt
Filed under: Pteropus alecto (black flying fox)
Lineage: Eukaryota; Metazoa; Chordata; Mammalia; Chiroptera; Pteropodidae
Source: RNAcentral